UGUUACUUCGCCAUUUUGAGCGAAGCAGGGUAGAUGCAGUCGGGUACAAGUAGAGAGGGAAUAAACUUACUCCUGCAUUGAAAACACACUGAAGUGUGGUAAUUGCGGAAGGUGACUGGGGGGAAAGAGCAAGAGGUUUUACCAGAAUUCAGACUUCAGACCACUGGGUGUAGAGUCUGAGAGCCUGAAAACAGUUUAGGGAAGAUUAUAAGAGCAGAAGGACUUCAGGGGAGACUUCACAUCACCCUGGGUUGUGCUCGUAUCAAAUUCAUGUCCUUCAGACCCUCUGCUGAUCCUCAGGAGGGAAACAGCUUCUGAAAUGAGUCUCUCUGAGGAGCCUGAGGCUGAAGAUGGAGCACUGGGCCAUGAAAUUGAGAGGUAAGAGGGUGUUCUUGUGUUUGGGGACCUGAUUGACUCUGACACUGAAU
RNAcentral lists this long non-coding RNA (428 nucleotides) under Lepisosteus oculatus (spotted gar). RNAcentral describes it as "lncRNA (ENSLOCG00000021246.1)". Lineage: Eukaryota; Metazoa; Chordata; Actinopteri; Semionotiformes; Lepisosteidae. The record is from RNAcentral.